Equus caballus (horse) is the source of this 1622-nucleotide long non-coding RNA. The record is from Ensembl. Lineage: Eukaryota; Metazoa; Chordata; Mammalia; Perissodactyla; Equidae.
UUUGCACUACAUUCUAUUCAUUAGAAAUUACUAAAUUCAGCCCACACUUAAAGUGGGGGGCAUUAGGCUCCAUCUUUUGUAGGAAGGUGUAUCCAAGAAUUUGUGAACAUCUUUUUAAACCAGCACAUUAGCUGUCAUUAGAAUUUGAAGAAAUGAGAAUUGGCUGAUUCUAAGCCUGGGGCAGAAAAUACCCGUAAUGAGGAGCCUGGAGGAUCUUUUACUAUCAAAAGGGUAUCGUUCUCAUUGGGAGAAGAAUUGUCUGAGAACCUCUAAGCCAUGCUCAUAUUGAACUUCUGAAACUGAGUCCACGACAACAUCUGGUGGGGCAAGAGCAGGGACAGUAACAAACUCCAAGUCAGGAUCACCAGUUACUUUCCUAGGAAGCCGAUAGACAGGCUUCUCAAAGCAGUAGGUACUUCUGGCAGAAAUCUCAUGUUACAAAUAUUCUUCUUUUAUUGGAAGAUGAUGGAUUUUUAAAAAUUUUUCCAGUCCUUAACAUCCACUAUGUUGCCAUGCAAUAUGAUGGGGUUGUUUUCAUAUACUCCCAACAGAUCUCUAUACCACCUAGGUGCACACUUGUAACUCUCGCUGUUAAAGUCAAAAAUUUUAGUCGCACACUUGCUUUGGAUACUUUGUAGUCCUCCUUAUCUGCAGUUUCACUUUCCGCAGUUUCAAUUAUCCUGAGGUCAACUGCAGUCCAAAAAUAUUAAAUGGAAAAUUACAGAAAUAAAUAAUUCAUAAGUUUUAAAUUGCGAACCAUUCUGACUAGCAUGAUGAAAUUUCGUGCCAUCCUGUUCCAUCCUGCCCAGAUGUGAAUCAUCUCUGUGUCCAGUGGAUCCACGCUGUAUAUGCUACCUGCCCAUCUGUCACUUAGUAGUGUCUCCAUUAUCAGAUCAACCGUCGUGAUGUCACAGUACUUGUGUUCAAGUCACCCUUAUUUUACUUAAUAAUGGCCCCAAAGCACAAGAGUAGUAAUGCUGGCAAUUCAGAUAUGCCAAAGAGACGCCGUAAAGUGCUUCCUUCAAGUGAAAAUGUGGAAGUUUUCAACUUACUACGGAAAGGAAAAAAAUCAUAUGCUAAGAUUUUUAUCAUUUGACUACUUGCUAAAAUUCCACCAAAAGUAUUUAAAUGGAAAAAAGAUUGAGUCAAAUAAUCUUGAUUUGCCAGGUGAGUAUAAUGGCUAACAAGGAAGAGAAAAAAGAACCACCACAACCUCCUAAUCAGGAAAUACACUCUGACAGCAGAAAAGUUUGAUCCUGGAUUCUGGUGACUUCCUUAGAUGCUAUGCCUGCAACUUGGUUCAGCUCUUCCCUGGUAACCACCAUUCUACUUUCCAUUUCUAUGAAUUUGACUACUUUAGACACCUCAUACUCUAGGAAAAAAAAAUGUCAACUAUUCUUAACAGAUGAAGUGACAAUAAGAUGGGGAGAAGGCAGCAGAGACCUUCAGAUCCUAUAGCAACACAAAGUGAAAUCUUGAUAAUGACCCAAAAGAAGAGUAAGAAAAAUGAGUCCUAAGAAUUCUUAUAUUAUUUCACAAGGAGUCUUAGAAAGAAGGCUGAGCGUUAUUCAUUGGGUUUUUUUCCCAUUGUUCUCUCUCAUUAAAACUGGCCCUGUUUUGUC